GACAUCCAGAGAACUUGGCAGAGAUGCCUCGGUGCCUUCGGGAACUCUGAGACAGGUGCUGCAUGGCUGUCGUCAGCUCGUGUUGUGAAAUGUUCGGGUUAAGUCCCGCAACGAGCGCAACCCCUAUCCUUGUGCCAGCGAUUCGGUCGGGAACUCAAAGGAGACUGCCGGUGAUAAACCGGAGGAAGGUGGGGAUGACGUCAAGUCAUCAUGGCCCUUACGAGUAGGGCUACACACGUGCUACAAUGGCGUAUACAAAGAGAAGCGACCUCGCGAGAGCAAGCGGACCUCAUAAAGUACGUCGUAGUCCGGAUUGGAGUCUGCAACUCGACUCCAUGAAGUCGGAAUCGCUAGUAAUCGUAGAUCAGAAUGCUACGGUGAAUACGUUCCCGGGCCUUGUACACACCGCCCGUCACACCAUGGGAGUGGGUUGCAAAAGAAGUAGAUAGCUUAACCUUCGGGAGGGCGUUUACCACUUUGUGAUUCAUGACUGGGGUGAAGUCGUAACAAGGUAAGCGUACGUGU
RNAcentral lists this ribosomal RNA (525 nucleotides) under uncultured bacterium. Its description in RNAcentral is "bacterial SSU rRNA". It matches the Rfam family "Bacterial small subunit ribosomal RNA", at positions 983 to 1509 of the family's 1533-position model. The record is from RNAcentral.